CUUCAAACAUCAGAGGUUUCCAGUGCUCAGUUUCACAUCAGUCGGACAUAUCCUGUGCCUCCUGAGAAUGCUGCAAGACAAAUACACCCUGAGAUGGUGCAGCAGUGAUUGUCAGGUUUCAGCAGCUGCGCUCCACACACCGGGAGAAAGCCUCGCCAGCCUGGACCUGCAAAGGUGGUCACAGUCUACAGAAAUCCCUUUACUUGUAAAACUGGAUACGAGGAAAGCCCUGAACACCAGCAGUCCUGCCUCCCAAGCUCUGACUCGCGGCAUCACAAGGGCAGGCAGAUAUUGCUGACAAGUAUGAAAGAACAAAAGAGCAAAUGGAAAGCCUUUCAUUGUAAAAGGAGAAGAACUCUAAAUAAAUGAUACUAAAAGAUG
Herpailurus yagouaroundi (jaguarundi) is the source of this 381-nucleotide long non-coding RNA. RefSeq lists it as uncharacterized. Lineage: Eukaryota; Metazoa; Chordata; Mammalia; Carnivora; Felidae. The record is from RefSeq and is a predicted model, not a curated record. The transcript is spliced from 2 exons.